This 406-nucleotide ribosomal RNA is filed under the name uncultured bacterium. Its description in RNAcentral is "partial 16S ribosomal RNA". It matches the Rfam family "Bacterial small subunit ribosomal RNA", at positions 29 to 526 of the family's 1533-position model. The record is from RNAcentral.
AUUGAACGCUGGCGGCAGGCCUAACACAUGCAAGUCGAGCGAGUGGCGGACGGGUGAGUAAUGUCUGGGAAACUGCCUGAUGGAGGGGGAUAACUACUGGAAACGGUAGCUAAUACCGCAUACCAUCGGAUGUGCCCAGAGGGGAUUAGCUAGUAGGUGGGGUAACGGCUCACCUAGGCGACGAUCCCUAGCUGGUCUGAGAGGAUGACCAGCCACACUGGAACUGAGACACGGGCCAGACGCCUACGGGAGGCAGCAGUGGGGAAUAUUGCACAAUGGGCGCAAGCCUGAUGCAGCCAUGCCGCGUGUAUGAAGAAGGCCUUCGGGUUGUAAAGGACUUUCAGCGGGGAGGCGUUACCCGCAGAAGAAGCACCGGCUAAUUCCGUGCCAGCAGCCGCGGUAAUAC